RNAcentral lists this long non-coding RNA (720 nucleotides) under Gallus gallus (chicken). The record is from RNAcentral. Lineage: Eukaryota; Metazoa; Chordata; Aves; Galliformes; Phasianidae.
CUCGCCUUCCCAAGGCACCAAAGGGCCUUUUGGUUCCUUGCUCCCUUUUCAUUGCCUUGUUUCUGCUCUCUCCCUCAGGUUUCCUUGCUGAGCUUUCACUGUGAAGCCAAAUCUGCACUGUUUGGUGUCUGCAGCUUCGUUUCUGGGUCCAGGCAACGGGAUGGAGAAAGGAUGGGGGUGAUCCAACAGCCGGCAUGGAAGGCAUGGAGGUGCUGCCUGGCUCCACGUUACCCACAUGAAAUGCCAAAUUCCCACCCAAUCCAAAGGAAAAGAAAAGCCACCGAGAGCAGCUGUCCCCAGCAGUGCCCUAUCACUGCCUGAGCCUGCUGUGCUCAUUGUCGCUCCGUGUGGGCUCAGCACAGGGGACUCACUGUUGUGAACCACGCAGAGUUGCAGAUCACAAAUAACUGCAUAAUAAACAGACGUAAACAGCCGUUUGGUUCAUGGCUGAUAAACUCUCAUGGUCCAUUUUAUCGCUGUGCAUGCAGAGGAAGGAGGGCUUGGGAAGGGGGAUGCUGCCCUGCCAGAGGCUGGGUGCCAUCCUGCCCCGUGUGCUGGUGAGCUCCCUGCCCUGGGUCUUCAUGGGGCAGGAUAUCGAGGAUGAAGACCUCGAAUCGAAGGAUCCCCUGAUCCUUAUGUAGGACCAGGUUGGAUAUUAGGAAAAAUUUCUCUCAGAAAGAGUGGUCAGGCAUUGGAACAGGCUGCCCAGGGAGGUGGUGG